This 495-nucleotide ribosomal RNA is filed under the name uncultured bacterium. RNAcentral describes it as "partial 16S ribosomal RNA". It matches the Rfam family "Bacterial small subunit ribosomal RNA", at positions 29 to 506 of the family's 1533-position model. The record is from RNAcentral.
AUGAACGCUGGCGGCGUGCCUAAUACAUGCAAGUCGAGCGAACAGACGAGGAGCUUGCUCCUCUGACGUUAGCGGCGGACGGGUGAGUAACACGUGGAUAACCUACCUAUAAGACUGGGAUAACUUCGGGAAACCGGAGCUAAUACCGGAUAAUAUAUUGAACCGCAUGGUUCAAUAGUGAAAGACGGUUUUGCUGUCACUUAUAGAUGGAUCCGCGCCGCAUUAGCUAGUUGGUAAGGUAACGGCUUACCAAGGCAACGAUGCGUAGCCGACCUGAGAGGGUGAUCGGCCACACUGGAACUGAGACACGGUCCAGACUCCUACGGGAGGCAGCAGUAGGGAAUCUUCCGCAAUGGGCGAAAGCCUGACGGAGCAACGCCGCGUGAGUGAUGAAGGUCUUCGGAUCGUAAAACUCUGUUAUUAGGGAAGAACAAAUGUGUAAGUAACUAUGCACGUCUUGACGGUACCUAAUCAGAAAACCACGGCUAACUACGU